Molecule: ribosomal RNA, 295 nt
Filed under: uncultured bacterium
Lineage: Bacteria
Description: partial 16S ribosomal RNA
Rfam family: Bacterial small subunit ribosomal RNA
Source: RNAcentral
GGUAUCCUACGGGGGGCAGCAGUGGGGAAUAUUGCGCAAUGGGCGAAAGCCUGACGCAGCGACGCCGCGUGGGGGAUGAAGGUCUUCGGAUCGUAAACCUCUGUCAGCAGGGAAGAACGGUCACUGUGCUAAUCAGCAGUGAAUUGACGGUACCUGCAAAGGAAGCACCGGCUAACUCCGUGCCAGCAGCCGCGGUAAUACGGAGGGGGCGAGCGUUAAUCGGAAUUACUGGGCGUAAAGCGCUCGUAGGCGGAAUGUCAAGUCAAGGGAGAAAUCCACGCGCUCAACGUGGGAA